Molecule: non-coding RNA, 264 nt
Organism: Pelobates cultripes (western spadefoot toad)
Lineage: Eukaryota; Metazoa; Chordata; Amphibia; Anura; Pelobatidae
Source: the annotation of a GenBank genome assembly
CAUUAUGGACUGUAGCGGUGCAGUACGGCUUUUGGGAAGACCAAUCAGGAGAGGGUUACAAUAAUCCAUGCAGGAAAUUACUAGACCAUGGACAAGCUCCUUGGUAGCAUCUUGCGUAAGAAAGGGGCGGUUGGGGGCUAUGUUUUUAAGAUGGAAUCUACAGGAUUUGGCAACAUACUGGAUGUGAGGCCAGAAUCAAGUAUGAUGCCAAGACAGCGCACUUGCAAGGAUGGACUUAUGUGGAUACCACUAACUUGAAGGGAG